Molecule: ribosomal RNA, 253 nt
Filed under: uncultured bacterium
Lineage: Bacteria
Description: partial 16S ribosomal RNA
Rfam family: Bacterial small subunit ribosomal RNA
Source: RNAcentral
UACAGAGGGUGCGAGCGUUAAUCGGAAUUACUGGGCGUAAAGCGCGCGUAGGCGGCUUCGCAAGUCGGGUGUGAAAUCCCCAGGCUUAACCUGGGAACUGCAUUCUAGACUGCAUUGCUAGAGUAUGGGAGAGGGAAGUGGAAUUUCCGGUGUAGCGGUGAAAUGCGUAGAUAUCGGAAGGAACAUCAGUGGCGAAAGCGACUUCCUGGACCAAUACUGACGCUCAUGUGCGAAAGCGUGGGGAGCAAACAGG